This 685-nucleotide long non-coding RNA is filed under the name Vigna radiata. RNAcentral's name for it is "long non-coding RNA (VRAD_LNC006588)". Lineage: Eukaryota; Viridiplantae; Streptophyta; Magnoliopsida; Fabales; Fabaceae. The record is from RNAcentral.
AAGAUCAUCAGGAGGCAGACAAGAAAGGAGAAUUGGUUCACCAACACCCUGAUGUGAAAAGUGAAAAACCCAAACCUAGGCACACUAGUGAAAUUCAAAAAUAGGUUAUGGGUUGUCAAGACUAUCAAAGCAAACAUAGCUCUUGAAGAUUGAGGAUUCUUAGAGUUGGUGAUAAAGGAAAUUUCUUAGAUGUUGUUGGUGUCAUGGAGGAAGGAAGAACUCCAACAUAAAAUAUAAACACCUACUGAUGGGUGUUUGGGCUUUACCGGGUCAAGCUAAUGAUGUUAAAAGAGCGCUUGUUGGGAGGCAACCCAGUUUUUGAAUUUUUUUUAUCUUUUAUUUUGUUUUAUUUGAUUUGAUUUUAUUUGAUUUUAUUUUAUUUUAUUUUUUAGGUUAUAUGCUGCUUCUGAAGGCAGAGAUGACAACAUUUACUGAGGGAUGUUAAGAAAGAUUAGCAUCUACUGAUGGAUGCUAUAGGAUUAGAAAUCUACUGAGGGAUGUCACUGACAACAUUUAUUGAUGAAUGCUACUGGGAUAACAUCUACUAAGGGAUGCUAGAAGAUAUAGUAUCUACUGAAGCAUACCAGGAAGGUACACCUACUGAUGGGUGAUGGUAAGGUUUGCACCUACUGAUGGGUGCUAGAAAGGUUUGGGUCAGGCUCGUGACAUUAAACAAGCGCUACCU